UCGCGGGGUUUUUCACUCCACCCAAUCGCAGUACCUAACGUUAGUUCCAAGUGCAUUGUAAACAACAACGUCCACGGCCCUGGACUGCUUUGGACGCAAUAGGACUGCCUCGGGGCUUCAGGGUUGUGAAUCAUGACAGGUGCAAAUCGCCAGGUCUUUUCUCCCUCGAAGUGGCUGGUGGGUUAGAACUGCUGACCUUCUGGUUAACAGCCAAGCACUCAAUAUGCCCAUAAAAUCAAGCUCAAUGCCUCCGAGUCGAUUUCCUCUGCGUACGACAGAGUAGAACUGCCCCCAGACGAUUCCCAAGGCUGUGAAUCUAUGUCAGCAGCGUCAUCUUUCUCCCACUGAUUGGCUGUUCCCAGGUUGACACUGCCAGCCCUGGCCCUGUUGAGGAUCCUUGCCUUGUGAUUGUUAUGUGGAAACUGCCCUCCAAGCCUGCAAUUUUCUUCCCAAGCCUGGCUGCCUCCUCAGGCUCAUGAGAUCCUUCCCCAGAAGAAGCAGCUUUGAGGCCACAAGGCAGAUGCUAUGCUGUGGACAGCUGGGUCCCAGGCCUUGAGAUGAAGAACGAGAUUGAAAAGAGCAGAAUGGGAUAACUCAGAAGUGGACAUGAAGGCUUACAGAACUGAACAACAGCAGCAAAGCCUGGAAGAGCGAGAGUGAUGAGAAGCCCCCAUCCCAGGAGAAGAUGAGUCACCGGAGACUUUGUAUUGGGCCAGAAACCUGUAAGCAUCUCAUGUGUGGACAAAGCUGCUCUCAGAGCUCUUCUUUCUCCCGUACGCCAGCACCCCCAGACUGAACAUCGCCUCCGAACGUCGUGGACAUGGAAAAGGCUUUAGCUGAGGUUCUUGUCUAGUUCACCACCAGAGAAUCCACAGCGAAGAGAAGCCUCACACGUGCAUUGAAUGCUGAAAAGGCUUUAGUGAACGCUCCAACCUCACCGCCCACCUGAGAAGUCACCCAGGGGAGAGACCUGACCAGUGUGGGUGUGUGGGAAAAGCUUCAACUAGGGGUCUAGCCUCCUAGUCCACCAGAUGACCCAUCCCUGGGGGAAAGCCUUCUGAGUGUACUGUGUGUGAAAAGAGGGUCUACAACAAUCGCAGUUCAGUGCUCACUGGUGAAGUCACACUAGGGGCAACCCACACAAAUGUGUGGAGUGUGGGAAAAGCUUCAGCAAUAGCCCCCACCUUAGUGCCCACCAGAGAACUCACACCAGGCUCAGGCUGUCUUCAUAUUAAGUGCUCUCAUAUUAACUGCCCUCUCCCACCACCAAGAAGUUCACACACAAGAGACAUUCACAUCAUAGGAAAGAAGAGAAGUAUAAGUCUGUAGAACAUCCGAAAGGCCAAUUCUUGAGACUAAUUUGUACUUUCUACAGCGCCCUUGAGUUUUUAGGGAAAUCUAUGAGCCAUUUGACAACUGGAUCAUACGAAUUAUGUUCUGGAAUCGCAUCAAGAAUAACAUAGCUCUGCCCAUGACUCCAGAACUCUCACUAUAGACUUUGCUUUGAAGGAGAAGUUACAGGAUCCAUAAGUUCUAAUAAGAAACCAAGGUGUGCCUGUUUCCAGCAUAGAAAAUGGGUGGCUAGUGGUCUGAGAAGUGUUUCUGGGCCAGGUCAGAGCAUGGCUCUCACACUGAGGGCCAAGAAAUAGUUUUUCCUCAUGGAAAGCACAUGUAGAAGGUUGUAUCUUUCCUAAGCCAAUAAUUGACUUCUUAGCACCUACUGUUAUGUACUGCUGUUACUGUCACCACUUCUUUAUAACCUAGCGACCGCCAAAAUGGACAAAGACAGGGUUAAACCACUGUAUAUUUUAUAAAUAUUAUUUCUAAUGAAAAUAAAGGUAUUUUUUGUCUCCA
Long non-coding RNA from Echinops telfairi (small Madagascar hedgehog), 1854 nucleotides. RefSeq lists it as uncharacterized. The record is from RefSeq and is a predicted model, not a curated record. Lineage: Eukaryota; Metazoa; Chordata; Mammalia; Afrosoricida; Tenrecidae. The transcript has 3 exons.